Strigops habroptila (Kakapo) is the source of this 110-nucleotide long non-coding RNA. RefSeq lists it as uncharacterized. NCBI's taxonomy places the organism in Eukaryota, Metazoa, Chordata, Aves, Psittaciformes, Psittacidae. The transcript is spliced from 3 exons. The record is from RefSeq and is a predicted model, not a curated record.
GGUGCCAUGGACAAGUCUGAGGCAUCCCUGCCAUGGUAGGGGGGUGUAACUAGAUGAUCUUAAGGUCCUUUUCCAACUCAAACCAUUCUAUGAUUCUAUGAUUCAUUGGA